This 403-nucleotide ribosomal RNA is filed under the name Bacteroidota bacterium. RNAcentral describes it as "Bacteroidetes bacterium partial 16S ribosomal RNA". It matches the Rfam family "Bacterial small subunit ribosomal RNA", at positions 355 to 776 of the family's 1533-position model. Lineage: Bacteria; Pseudomonadati; Bacteroidota. The record is from RNAcentral.
UGGGGAAUCUUGCACAAUGGGGGAAACCCUGAUGCAGCGACGCCGCGUGAGCGAUGAAGGUUUUCGAAUCGUAAAGCUCUGUCCUAUGGGAAGAUAAUGACGGUACCAUAGAAGAAAGCUCCGGCUAAAUACGUGCCAGCAGCCGCGGUAAUACGUAGGACCCGAGCGUUGUCCGGAUUUAUUGGGCGUAAAGCGAGCGCAGGCGGUUAGAAAAGUCUGAAGUGAAAGGCAGUGGCUCAACCAUUGUAGGCUUUGGUAACUGUUUAACUUGAGUGCAGAAGGGGAGGGUGUAAUUCGAUGUGUAGCGGUGAAAUGCGUAGAUAUAUGGAGGAACACCGGUGACGAAAGCGGCUCUCUGGACUGUAACUGACGCUGAGGCUCGAAAGCGUGGGGAGCGAACAGG